AAUUCUCAACUUGAACUCCUUUCGAGGGUUUUUCAAGCUUGGAUUUGGAUCUGCCGGUGUCUCUUUGUCCGUUGGGCUCGGCCUGGCUCCUCUGAAAUGUGUUAGCAAGGAACUUCUUUUGCCCCUUUGGGUGUGAUAGUUGUCUACGCCCCUGGGGUUGUCUUGCUUCUAAUUUUCCAUAUGAA
This 185-nucleotide unclassified non-coding RNA is filed under the name uncultured Agaricomycetes. Its description in RNAcentral is "sequence contains ITS2". Lineage: Eukaryota; Fungi; Basidiomycota; Agaricomycetes. The record is from RNAcentral.